GCGCCAGUCAUCUAGCCAGGUAGGAUACAAGCUUCCCAAGCUUGGUGCCCGGGUUCAAAUCCCGGCUGGCGCA
Molecule: transfer RNA, 73 nt
Rfam family: tRNA
About the family: Transfer RNA (tRNA) molecules are approximately 80 nucleotides in length.